This 539-nucleotide ribosomal RNA is filed under the name uncultured Geobacteraceae bacterium. Its description in RNAcentral is "bacterial SSU rRNA". It matches the Rfam family "Bacterial small subunit ribosomal RNA", at positions 9 to 526 of the family's 1533-position model. The record is from RNAcentral. Lineage: Bacteria; Pseudomonadati; Thermodesulfobacteriota; Desulfuromonadia; Geobacterales; Geobacteraceae.
GAGUUUGAUCCUGGCUCAGAACGAACGCUGGCGGCGUGCCUAACACAUGCAAGUCGAACGUGAUCCAGAGCUUGCUCUGGUGAAAGUGGCGCACGGGUGAGUAACGCGUGGAUAACCUACCCUGGUAUCCGGGAUAACAUUCCGAAAGGGGUGCUAAUACCGGAUAAGCCCACGGGCUCUUUGGAGCUUGCGGGAAAAGGUGGCCUCUAUUAUAAGCUACUGUAUCAGGAUGGGUCCGCGUACCAUUAGCUAGUUGGCGGUGUAACGGACCACCAAGGCGACGAUGGUUAGCUGGUCUGAGAGGAUGAUCAGCCACACUGGAACUGAGACACGGUCCAGACUCCUACGGGAGGCAGCAGUGGGGAAUUUUGCGCAAUGGGGGAAACCCUGACGCAGCAACGCCGCGUGAGUGAUGAAGGCCUUUGGGUCGUAAAGCUCUGUCAGAGGGGAAGAAAUGAUAUAGUGCUAAUACCACUUUAUCUUGACGGUACCCUCAAAGGAAGCACCGGCUAACUCCGUGCCAGCAGCCGCGGUAAUAC